CACUCUCACUCUCACUCUCACCCUCGCUCGAAGUCUCUCUCAGUCUCAGUCUCACUUUCGCUCUCGCUCAAAUUCUCUCUCACUCUCGGUCUCAUUCUCACUCUCUGUACUCAUCUCUUCAUCAGAUCCAUGAAGUUUGUCGAAGAUUUGAAGGUUGAUUCUUGAAGAUUCGAAGGUUGAUUCUCCAGAUUUGCAGUUGUCUCUCACUCUCGCUCUCGCUCUCAUUCUCUGUCUUAGUCUCACUGUCGCUCUUGCUCGAAUUCUCUUUCUCUCAGUCUCACUCUCACUCUCUGUACUCAUCUCUUCAUCAGAUCUAUGAAGUUUGUCGAAGAUUUGAAGAUUCGAAGGUUGAUUCUUGAAGAUUCGAAGGUUGAUUCUCCAGAUUUGCAGUUGUCUCUUUCGAUUUUAUCUCAUCGUUCAUCAAUUGGUCGAUUAAUCUACAUGAAACCUAUUUGAGAUUUGGCUUCUCAAAUCUUCCAUGAGGAUGAUGCAGAUGCUACAGCGGACACCUCAAACCAGGAAAUGCACAGUACUGCACCUUUUCUCAGAAGUGAAGCCCCCAGUUCCUCGUUGCUCCCUGAAAAUAGACAGUUCAAUCUUGAAGUCUCAUCUUUAAAUAUUCCAGUUGAUCAAAUGAAAACGAUUCAAAACAUUAACACAUUAAUUUCCGAGUUAGCAUUGGAGAAGGAAGAGUUGAUGCAAGCAUUGCUUGCUGAAUCAUCUGAAAGUUCCACACUGAAGUGAAAUGAAAUCUUAGAUGUCAAUAUUGGUUCUAAUCGGCAUACACUUGCAAAUUCUGAACACCUUGGAGACAAGCCGACAACUCAGGUGGAAGUUUGGGUUGAUGUGACCAGUUGUGAGAAGCAGCUUUUGGAACUGCUUGAUGUAGUGAAUUGCUAUUUAGAGUAUUGUGUAUUGUUGUUAGAUUUGCUACUAGUUGUUAAUUUGUAUUGAUGCUUAAAGCUGUUAAUUUGUAUUGAUGCUUAAAGCUGUUAA
Non-coding RNA from Camellia sinensis, 996 nucleotides. The record is from RefSeq and is a predicted model, not a curated record. Lineage: Eukaryota; Viridiplantae; Streptophyta; Magnoliopsida; Ericales; Theaceae.